UACGGAGGGUGCGAGUGUUGCUCGGAAUUAUUGGGCGUAAAGAGCAGGUAGGUGGUCUCAUUUGUCCGGGGUGAAAGCCUUGAGCUUAACUCAAGAAGUGCCUCAGAAACGGUGAGACUAGAGUCUUGGAGAGGGUCGCGGAAUUCCCGGUGUAGCGGUGAAAUGCGUAGAGAUCGGGAGGAACACCAGAGGCGAAGGCGGCGACCUGGCCAAGUACUGACACUCAACUGCGAAAGCGUGGGGAGCAAACAGG
RNAcentral lists this ribosomal RNA (253 nucleotides) under uncultured bacterium. RNAcentral's name for it is "partial 16S ribosomal RNA". It matches the Rfam family "Bacterial small subunit ribosomal RNA", at positions 524 to 776 of the family's 1533-position model. The record is from RNAcentral.